UGUGUGUUAUCUAUGUUUUCUGACAGAAAAUCGAUUGUCGCUAGAAAGUAUAAUCACUACCAAAAAUGUUAGAAUUAACUUUAUAUAAAAUGUUAGUGUUUUCUGUUACAUUAGCUAGGAAAAUUUUUAAAUGAAUUGGUGCUAUGAAUUUUAAAUGACUUCUUCCAGUUUCAGACCAUUAGUGCCAGUGGUAUUACAUUCACAAUGACAAAGGACCGGCUUGCUGCCUUGAAAGCGGCUCAAGGGGAUGAUGAUGUGGCUGUUUCUGUGGAAGACAGCACGUGUGAGAAACACAUGGAAGAGUUCUUCCAAGAGGUUGAAGAAAUUAGAGAAAAUAUAGAAAAAAUUCAAACCAAUGUGGAGGAAGUGAAGAAGAAACACAGUGCUAUUCUUUCAGCACCUCAGACAGAAGAAAAGGUGAAGCAGGAGCUGGAAGACCUAAUGGCUGAUAUUAAAAAGUCGGCAAACAAAGUGAGAACCAAGUUAAAAGUUAUGGAGCAGAAUCUAGAACAGUUAGAACAAACCAGGAUGAUGUCAGCUGACUUCCGCAUUAGAAAGACGCAGCAUUCAAUGUUGUCACAGAAAUUUGUAGAAGUGAUGACAGAUUACAACAAAACUCAGACUGACUACAGAGAAAGAUGUAAAGCUCGAAUUCAACGACAGUUAGAGAUCACGGGUAAAGUGACAACAAAUGAUGAGCUGGAAGACAUGUUGGAGAGUGGCAAUCCUGCCAUUUUUACACAAGGGAUUAUCAUGGAAACACAACAAGCCAAACAAACACUGGCAGAUAUUGAGGCUCGUCACAAUGAUAUAAUCAAGUUAGAGAGCAGCAUUCGAGAGCUUCACGAUAUGUUCAUGGACAUGGCGAUGCUGGUUGAGAGCCAGGGAGAAAUGAUUGAUAGAAUUGAAUAUCAAGUGGAACAUGCAAAGGACUACAUAGAAGCUGCUAAACAGGACACAAAGAAGGCACUAGUGUACCAGAGCAAAGCAAGAAGGAAAAAAAUCAUUAUCAUAAUCCUGGUACUAGUGGCGAUUGGAGUUUUAACUUUAAUUAUUCUUGGCUCCAUUGGAGUUAUCUGAUACUAGUUCACGAUGGAUUGGAGGAGACUGCAACUUUAAACGACCUCUGACCAAACAACUACUUUAUUACGUGGGCACAGCUUGUGUCUGGGAUUUUCAGUAUGCCUUCCAUAUAAGAACUUCCAUUCAAAGUGUUUGAUUCAAAGCUAUUAAAAAGGUUUGGUUGAUCCUGAGAGUAAGUGCUAAAUAUAAAGCAAUAGAAUGUAAAAUGCUAA
RNAcentral lists this unclassified non-coding RNA (1295 nucleotides) under Limulus polyphemus (Atlantic horseshoe crab). Its description in RNAcentral is "syntaxin-like". Lineage: Eukaryota; Metazoa; Arthropoda; Merostomata; Xiphosura; Limulidae. The record is from RNAcentral.